GGAUGUGAGGGUGAUCUGGCUGCAACAUCUGUUACCCCAUUAAUUGCCAGGGUUGAUUCGGCCAAUCUGGCUGGUUAGGUGGAUGUGACCUUCCUCUGUCACUAUUCCAUGCAAAUCCCUCCUGAAGCUGCACUCUUGCUCGAAGAGACUGAACUUCCUGAACAGAGGAGGACCAGUCUUUGGUCAAGGGUAUACAAGUAGCUGUGCUUCCCUGCUAGAAAUUUCAAAUAAGCUCUCAAAAAGAAGAGCUAAGAAACAUUUUAAUGUCAGGACUAGGAAGUAUUGUUGCUUUAGGAAUAUUACAAUAAAUCUUAUAUAAAAUGAUUUUUUUC
Unclassified non-coding RNA from Cricetulus griseus (Chinese hamster), 332 nucleotides. Its record names the gene 7SK. It matches the Rfam family "7SK RNA". Rfam says of the family: 7SK was discovered as an abundant small nuclear RNA in the mid-70s but a possible function has only recently been suggested. Two independent studies have found that 7SK RNA binds the CDK9/cyclin T complex (known as elongation factor P-TEFb). P-TEFb activates transcription by phosphorylating the C-terminal domain of RNA polymerase II. The record is from Ensembl. Lineage: Eukaryota; Metazoa; Chordata; Mammalia; Rodentia; Cricetidae.